RNAcentral lists this long non-coding RNA (467 nucleotides) under Androctonus crassicauda. The record is from RNAcentral. Lineage: Eukaryota; Metazoa; Arthropoda; Arachnida; Scorpiones; Buthidae.
AUUUGAUUGAUCGAACUAUCUAUUGAUGCUACUUUUAUUUGUGGGGUUUGGUUCCUUUUCAUUUUUCACUAUUCACAAGCACUCAUUGUAAGCCAAUGAUUAUGGCAGAAGAUUUAAAUAGUAGAGUUGGUAUGGAAGGAUUGAUUAGAGAAAAUAAUAAUCCUAGAAUGAAUGACAAUAGAGAAUGAUUAUUGGAGAUCUGGACUGACCAAGGGGGUGCCAACUAUGGCCAUCUCUAAUUUUGCUGAUUUUUAUAUAUGUUAUAUUGUUGUUUUCUCACAAAUCCAUGAUAAAAUAAUAUGGCACUCAAAUAUUCCUGAAAAAAAAAAGGGUUUAAAAUUUUUUGUUAUUUAUAUACUGAUUGAUAUUAACAAUUUAAUAAGUGCUGCCAUAGUGCAAUGCAUUCACUGUUCAAUUACUGUAAAGUGCGAAUGAAUGAUGUGGGUUCGAUUCCCCCCUUUUUUAAU